AGCUCCAGUAGCGUAUAUUAAAGUUGUUGCAGUUAAAAAGCUCGUAGUUGGAUCUCGGGUUGUCGACUGUGGUUCAGGUUCAUGCCUGUUUACUGCUGUCGAUACCUAACUGGUGGGAUGCUGUGGGUGCCCUUGACUGGGUCGCCUACUGCACCCGCUCAAUUUACUUUGAAAAAAUUAGAGUGUUCAAGGCAGGCUCACACGCCUGAAUAAUGGUGCAUGGAAUAAUAGAAUAGGAUCUCGGUUCUAUUUUGUUGGUUUUCGGAACUUGAGAUAAUGAUUAGGAGGGACAGACGGGGGCAUUCGUAUUGCGGUGUUAGAGGUGAAAUUCUUGGAUCGCCGCAAGACGAACUACUGCGAAAGCAUUUGCCAAGAAUGUUUUCAUUAAUCAAGAACGAAA
RNAcentral lists this ribosomal RNA (400 nucleotides) under phytoplankton environmental sample. Its description in RNAcentral is "partial small subunit ribosomal RNA". It matches the Rfam family "Eukaryotic small subunit ribosomal RNA", at positions 587 to 988 of the family's 1831-position model. The record is from RNAcentral.